CCUACGGGAGGCAGCAGUGGGGAAUUUUGGACAAUGGGCGCAAGCCUGAUCCAGCAAUGCCGCGUGAGUGAAGAAGGCCUUCGGGUUGUAAAGCUCUUUUGUCAGGGAAGAAACGGCUGAGGCUAAUAUCCUCGGCUAAUGACGGUACCUGAAGAAUAAGCACCGGCUAACUACGUGCCAGCAGCCGCGGUAAUACAUAGGGUGCAAGCGUUAAUCGGAAUUACUGGGCGUAAAGCGUGCGCAGGCGGUUUUGUAAGUCUGUCGUGAAAGCCCCGGGCUUAACCUGGGAAUUGCGAUGGAGACUGCAAGGCUUGAAUCUGGCAGAGGGGGGUAGAAUUCCACGUGUAGCAGUGAAAUGCGUAGAGAUGUGGAGGAACACCGAUGGCGAAGGCAGCCCCCUGGGUCAAGAUUGACGCUCAUGCACGAAAGCGUGGGGAGCAAACAGGAUUAGAUACCCUGGUAGUCCACGCCCUAAACGAUGUCUACUAGUUGUCGGGUCUUAAUUGACUUGGUAACGCAGCUAACGCGUGAAGUAGACCGCCUGGGGAGUACGGUCGCAAGAUUAAAACGUCAAAGGAAUUGACGG
Molecule: ribosomal RNA, 586 nt
Filed under: uncultured bacterium
Lineage: Bacteria
Description: bacterial SSU rRNA
Rfam family: Bacterial small subunit ribosomal RNA
Source: RNAcentral